Molecule: ribosomal RNA, 521 nt
Filed under: uncultured bacterium
Lineage: Bacteria
Description: bacterial SSU rRNA
Rfam family: Archaeal small subunit ribosomal RNA
Source: RNAcentral
AACCUCCGCAAUGUGAGAAAUCGCGACGGGGGGAUCCCAAGUGCCAUUCUUAACGGGAUGGCUUUUCUUAAGUGUAAAAAGCUUUUGGAAUAAGAGCUGGGCAAGACCGGUGCCAGCCGCCGCGGUAACACCGGCAGCUCUAGUGGUAGCUGUUUUUAUUGGGCCUAAAGCGUUCGUAGCCGGUUUGAUAAGUCACUGGUGAAAUCCUGUAGCUUAACUGUGGGAAUUGCUGGUGAUACUGUUGAACUUGAGGUCGGGAGAGGUUAGCGGUACUCCCAGGGUAGAGGUGAAAUUCUGUAAUCCUGGGAGGACCACCUGUGGCGAAGGCGGCUAACUGGAACGAACCUGACGGUGAGGGACGAAAGCUAGGGGCGCGAACCGGAUUAGAUACCCGGGUAGUCCUAGCCGUAAACGAUGCGGACUUGGUGUUGGGGUGGCUUUGAGCUGCUCCAGUGCCGAAGGGAAGCUGUUAAGUCCGCCGCCUGGGAAGUACGGUCGCAAGACUGAAACUUAAAGGAAUU